This 481-nucleotide ribosomal RNA is filed under the name uncultured Psychrobacter sp. RNAcentral's name for it is "bacterial SSU rRNA". It matches the Rfam family "Bacterial small subunit ribosomal RNA", at positions 42 to 519 of the family's 1533-position model. The record is from RNAcentral. Lineage: Bacteria; Pseudomonadati; Pseudomonadota; Gammaproteobacteria; Moraxellales; Moraxellaceae.
GCGGAGCUUACCAUGCAGUCGAGCGGAACGAUGGUAGCUUGCUACCAGGCGCCGAGCGGCGGACGGGUGAGUAAUACUUAGGAAUCUACCUAGUAGUGGGGGAUAGCACGGGGAAACUCGUAUUAAUACCGCAUACGACCUACGGGAGAAAGGGGGCAGUUUACUGCUCUCGCUAUUAGAUGAGCCUAAGUCGGAUUAGCUAGAUGGUGGGGUAAAGGCCUACCAUGGCGACGAUCUGUAGCUGGUCUGAGAGGAUGAUCAGCCACACCGGGACUGAGACACGGCCCGGACUCCUACGGGAGGCAGCAGUGGGGAAUAUUGGACAAUGGGGGAAACCCUGAUCCAGCCAUGCCGCGUGUGUGAAGAAGGCCUUUUGGUUGUAAAGCACUUUAAGCAGUGAAGAAGACUCUUCGGUUAAUACCCGGAGACGAUGACAUUAGCUGCAGAAUAAGCACCGGCUAACUCUGUGCCAGCAGCCGCG